This 497-nucleotide ribosomal RNA is filed under the name uncultured bacterium. RNAcentral describes it as "partial 16S ribosomal RNA". It matches the Rfam family "Bacterial small subunit ribosomal RNA", at positions 28 to 507 of the family's 1533-position model. The record is from RNAcentral.
GAUGAACGCUGGCGGCGUGCCUAAUACAUGCAAGUCGAGCGAACGGACGAGAAGCUUGCUUUUCUGAUGUUAGCGGCGGACGGGUGAGUAACACGUGGAUAACCUACCUAUAAGACUGGGGUAACUUCGGGAAACCGGAGCUAAUACCGGAUAAUAUGUUGAACCGCAUGGUUCAAAAGUGAAAGACGGUCUUGCUGACACUUAUAGAUGGAUCCGCGCUGCAUUAGCUAGUUGGUAAGGUAACGGCUUACCAAGGCAACGAUGCGUAGCCGACCUGAGAGGGUGAUCGGCCACACUGGAACUGAGACACGGUCCAGACUCCUACGGGAGGCAGCAGUGGGGAAUCUUCGGCAAUGGGCGAAAGCCUGAUCGAGCCACGCCGCGUGUGUGAAGAAGGUCUUCGGAUUGUAAAGCACUGUUAUUAGGGAGGAACAGAUGUGUAAGUAACUGUGCACAUCUUGACGGUACCUAAACAGAAAGCCACGGCUAACUACGUG